UACGUAGGGUGCGAGCGUUGUCCGGAAUUAUUGGGCGUAAAGGGCUCGUAGGCGGUUUGUCACGUCGGGAGUGAAAACUCGGGGCUCAACCCCGAGCCUGCUUCCGAUACGGGCAGACUAGAGGUAUGCAGGGGAGAAUGGAAUUCCUGGUGUAGCGGUGAAAUGCGUUGAUAUCAUCUGGAAUACCGGAGGCGAAGGCGGCUCACUGGGGGUUUUCUGACGCUGAGGAACGAAAGCCAGGGUAGCGAACGGG
Molecule: ribosomal RNA, 253 nt
Filed under: uncultured bacterium
Lineage: Bacteria
Description: partial 16S ribosomal RNA
Rfam family: Bacterial small subunit ribosomal RNA
Source: RNAcentral